This 327-nucleotide ribosomal RNA is filed under the name uncultured eukaryote. RNAcentral describes it as "partial 18S ribosomal RNA". It matches the Rfam family "Eukaryotic small subunit ribosomal RNA", at positions 1470 to 1796 of the family's 1831-position model. The record is from RNAcentral.
CCCUUAGAUGUUCUGGGCCACACGCGCGUUACACUGAUGAAGCCAGCGAGUAUAUCGCCUUCACCGGAAGGUGCGGGUAAUCUUGUGAAACUUCAUCGUGCCGGGGAUAGACCAUUGCAAUUAUUGGUCUUGAACGAGGAAUUCCUAGUAAGCAUGAGUCAUCAACUCGUGCUGAUUACGUCCCUGCCCUUUGUACACACCGCCCGUCGCUACUACCGAUUGAAUGGUUUAGUGAGAUCUCGGGAUUGGAGACGUUGCGCCGCAAGGCACAUCGUCCUCGAGAACUUGAUCAAACUUGAUCAUUUAGAGGAAGUAAAAGUCGUAACA